GAUGGACGCUGGCGGUGUGCCUAAUACAUGCAAGUCGAGCGAACAGACGAGGAGCUUACUCCUCUGACGUUAGCGGCGGACGGGUGAGUAACACGUGGAUAACCUACCUAUAAGACUGGGAUAACUUCGGGAAACCGGAGCUAAUACCGGAUAACAUGUUGAACCGCAUGGUUCAACAGUGAAAGACGGUCUUGCUGUCACUUAUAGAUGGAUCCGCGUCGCAUUAGCUAGUUGGUAAGGUAACGGCUUACCAAGGCAACGAUGCGUAGCCGACCUGAGAGGGUGAUCGGCCACACUGGAACUGAGACACGGUCCAGACUCCUACGGGAGGCAGCAGUAGGGAAUCUUCCGCAAUGGGCGAAAGCCUGACGGAGCAACGCCGCGGGAGUGAAGAAGGUCUUCGGAUCGUAAAACUCUGUUAUUAGGGAAGAACAAAUGUGUAAGUAACUAUGCACGUCUUGACGGUACCUAAUCAGAAAGCCACGGCUAACUACGU
Molecule: ribosomal RNA, 496 nt
Filed under: uncultured bacterium
Lineage: Bacteria
Description: partial 16S ribosomal RNA
Rfam family: Bacterial small subunit ribosomal RNA
Source: RNAcentral